Molecule: long non-coding RNA, 2372 nt
Organism: Gavialis gangeticus (Gharial)
Lineage: Eukaryota; Metazoa; Chordata; Crocodylia; Gavialidae
Exons: 2
Source: RefSeq, a predicted model, not a curated record
GGGCAAGACGCACUACAUGGGUGAGAAAUCUUCAUGAAAUAUCUUUCUGAAUGAAAUAUAGUAAGAAAAGGCAUGUCUACAUGUGAGACAUCUCUUUGGGGCAGGAUAGAUGCCACAAAGAAAACACUGUACCCCGGUGUGAAAAAUAAAUACUAUACGUUUCCUCUACUAUUAAAGUUGCAAUAAAAAUGAAAAGGAAAAAUAAGGAAACCUCAUUAUUAAACACAAGUUUUUAAAAAGUAGGAACUGCAUUUAUACUCAGAGUUUGUCUUACUUUGAAAGUUUUCUGUUUGAAUGGUAUGUUUCCAUCCUGUGUUAGAUUAAGCCUGAGAAUUCAGACCAUGUUGGUAACUCUAGAAAUAUGUAUAGAUAACUCUGAAAAUGGAAACUAUUUCUGUGCUUAGAAGAAAUUCUGUGGGAGUGAAUGUGUUCACAGCUUCCAGGCCAGGAAGACUGACCCUUCCAGAUCUUUAAAAGGUUGCAGAAAGACUGUAAAAAUCAAAUCAAACAAAAAUAGAUCGAGACUUACAGUAAAGCUGCUCUGAAAAGAAGCUGAAAGACUAAAGCCUGGUGGGUGAACAUACAUGCAUGCACAAGAAAAGGCAUUUAAAAAGUACAUUACAAACUUAAUAUGACAGUAUUUACUUUUUCUCUCUCCGUCUCAUUUCCAGCUCAUUCUUAUCAGAGUCCUGUCAGUCCCAAAACUGACAUUUUCCUGUCCUGAUCAUUCCUGAGAUAGUGGACAGGGAUUUUUUUUUAUUAGGUUGAUGCAAACAGCAGAUGAUCCUACAGAGGAACGUCAAGGACAGUUUGGAGUCCUAAUCCCUGACCCUCCUGCCCUUUCCUAACUAGCUAUUGACAUUGAACUUAAAAAGCUUCAAUGGCGAGACGAGAUAAUGAAUUCUGUUUGCUUUUAGUGCAAAAAGGGAAGAGGUCCAGAGUGGGAGAAAUGCAACAGCUCUCGCAGGAAAGGUUCUGCUAAUGUGUUAGUAUAACUUAAAUCUUCUUAGACCUGAAACCUGUUUAGCAAUAAAUAAAAUUCAGGAAAAGUAGAUGUUGUUCUCCUGGAAUAUAUGUUGGUGGGAGGGAGAAUAUUAUUUAGAAUAAGAUGUUCUAACUUUUUUGACACCCCAACUGAUAAACUUGGCAGAAUUUCAUCCUGAUUAUCUCAUGAGAAAUAUUCUGGGCUGAAAAACUCAUUAGUUCUCUAUAUUACAUUCUCUAUAUUCCUGCAUGUUGGUUUGAUUUUUUCAUUCUAUUUUUUUUUCUUCCCUUUCUUUGCCUGUUUUUCUCAUUGAGACAAGACCUCCAUAAAAAUCUCUUACUAUAAUGGACCAUUUCUGAUAAACACAGGAAGCACUGAUUUCUUACUGCUCAGCAGUUUAGCAGGAAUACCUUUCCACUCAAUGGGUAGAUAGUCUGAGGAACAGGAGGUUACUAAGAUCAAAUAUUUCAGUAAAUAAUGACCAAUCUAGGGUUAUAAAAGUAAAUCAAACCAAGAAUUUUGGGGACAAAACCCCUCAACACUAGUUUAACCCUGCUGGGGAUUAGCAUAACAUUUGCAUGGAGGCAGAUUAUACCACCUCUCUCUGCUGUACAAUCUUUGCCCCCUUUUUUUAAGGCCAUGUGAAUUAGGAUGGUAAUAUGGUCCCUUAUUCCUACAGGUUUUGUUUUCAGUCCUGGAGGUCUUUCCUCCCGACUGUCCGUCUCUCCGGGAGUCGCAGAAUGACAGCAGAAAAGAGGUGCUCAUUUGUGAGCACUGGCAGAGGUCAAGUCAAGGCUAAUGCUGCAAUGAGUUUAGGAAAAACUUGGUUUAAGCAAAACUGGAGAGCAUUAAUUCACCUGUCAUUUAUUUAAGGCAUACGAAGAAGGGAAGGCUCGGCUGCGGCAGGGAGCCAGUAUCAGUCGGGGUGAGCCAGAGGAAAGGCGUGACAGUUUCACAUGUUGGCCGCUCUCCUUCCGGCGGGCGCUUGGCAGGCGCACCCCUGUCUUCAGCCUCCUCUUUCUGAGGAUGACGACUCAUACGUACUGGCUACUCAGAAUCAGGCACCUGGAAGUUCGUUGCAAAGGGCACGCUGAGAAUUACGCUACAAAUCACCAUGACCAAGGAUGAAAAGAGUCCCCUCCAGAGCUGGGCUCAGCACCUCUGCGAUGUCCUCCUUUGCAUUCAGCCACAGGCCUCUCUCUCCGAGGGGAAGCGGUGCUGGGGAGAGGUGGAAACAGAAGCCAGGAACCACAGAGAGGGAUUCUGGUAUCAAACAUUCAACCUUCUGACCUCCGUCUUUGGACCCUUGGCUGGCAACAGCGUAUGUGAAUUAUCUAGAUGUCAGACACAGGAACAGUUUUCUGAAUUCAUUAAAAAGGUCUGCUCA